This 500-nucleotide ribosomal RNA is filed under the name uncultured bacterium. Its description in RNAcentral is "partial 16S ribosomal RNA". It matches the Rfam family "Bacterial small subunit ribosomal RNA", at positions 30 to 523 of the family's 1533-position model. The record is from RNAcentral.
AUUGAACGCUGGCGGAAUGCUUUACACAUGCAAGUCGAACGGCAGCACGGACUUCGGUCUGGUGGCGAGUGGCGAACGGGUGAGUAAUGAAUCGGAACGUGCCCAGUCGUGGGGGAUAACGUAGUGAAAAUUACGCUAAUACCGCCUACGAUCUAUGGAUGAAAGCGGGGGAUCGCAAGACCUCGCGCGAUUGGAGCGGCCGAUAUCAGAUUAGGUAGUUGGUGGGGUAAAGGCCCACCAAGCCAACGAUCUGCAGCUGGUCUGAGAGGACGACCAGCCACACUGGAACUGAGACACGGUCCAGACUCCUACGGGAGGCAGCAGUGGGGAAUUUUGGACAAUGGGCGAAAGCCUGAUCCAACCAUUCCGCGUGCAGGAUGAAGGCCCUCGGGUUGUAAACUGCUUUUGUACAGAACGAAAAGGUUUCUACUAAUACUAGGAGCUCAUGACGGUACUGUAAGAAUAAGCACCGGCUAACUACGUGCCAGCCGCCGCAGUAA